RNAcentral lists this ribosomal RNA (442 nucleotides) under uncultured bacterium. Its description in RNAcentral is "partial 16S ribosomal RNA". It matches the Rfam family "Bacterial small subunit ribosomal RNA", at positions 338 to 795 of the family's 1533-position model. The record is from RNAcentral.
CCUACGGGUGGCAGCAGUGGGGAAUAUUGGGCAAUGGGCGCAAGCUUGACCCAGCAACGCCGCGUGAAGGAAGAAGGCUUUCGGGUUGUAAACUUCUUUUAAGCGGGAAGAGCAGAAGACGGUACCUCUUGAAUAAGCCACGGCUAACUACGUGCCAGCAGCCGCGGUAAUCAGUAGGUGGCAAGCGGUGUCCGGAUUUACUGGGUGGAAAUGGCGUGCAGCCGGGAAGACAAGUCAGAUGUGAAAUCCCGUGGCUCAACCGCGGAACUGCAUUUGAAACUGUUUUUCUUGAGUAUCGGAGAGGUCAGCGGAAUUCCUUGUGUAGCGGUGAAAUGCGUAGAGAUAAGGAGGAACACCAGUGGCGAAGGCGGAUGACUGGACGGCAACUGACGGUGAGGCGCGAAAGCGUGGGGAGCAAACAGGAUUAGAUACCCGGGUAGUC